RNAcentral lists this ribosomal RNA (302 nucleotides) under uncultured bacterium. RNAcentral describes it as "partial 16S ribosomal RNA". It matches the Rfam family "Bacterial small subunit ribosomal RNA", at positions 508 to 807 of the family's 1533-position model. The record is from RNAcentral.
GCAGCAGCCACGGUAAUACGUAGGUGGCAAGCGUUGUCCGGAAUUAUUGGGCGUAAAGGGCUCGCAGGCGGUUUCUUAAGUCUGAUGUGAAAGCCCCCGGCUCAACCGGGGAGGGUCAUUGGAAACUGGGAAACUUGAGUGCAGAAGAGGAGAGUGGAAUUCCACGUGUAGCGGUGAAAUGCAUAGAGAUGUGGAGGAACACCAGUGGCGAAGGCGACUCUCUGGUCUGUAACUGACGCUGAGGAACGAAAGCGUGGGGAGCGAACAGGAUUAGAUACCCCGGUAGUCCCUGUCUCUUAUAC